CUCUCUGCCCCUCCUCUGCUUGUGCUCGCUCUCUCUUUCUCUCUCUCAAAAAUAAAUACACAUUAAAUAAUUCGAGUUUUGAUUUGCUUAUCUGUGAAAGAAGGACAACAAAACCUUCAUAGGGCCACAAUAAGGAUUAAAUGAGGUAAUAAUAUUACAUGGCAGCGUCUGUUAGAUAUCAGGUCCUCGAAAAUAUUAAUUCUUAGGUGAAUAUAAAUUCAUAUCCGUCAUGCAUGCAGUAGUUACUUAACUUCUCUCUUCACCAUCCCCUCCAGUUUCCAGAAUGCUAAUCAGCUUUUAAGCUAUUAACUUAGGGUGCCUGGAACCAGAAUAUAUCGGAAUCCAAGGCUCUUUGAUUUUAACAGAAAGAUAUUUUUUGCUUUCAGGACAAGACUAAAGAGAUCCAGGAAGCAGAUUAGCUGGCACCCCUGGAUGAAACCUUGGCCAUUCGAGCUGUGGCUGUGGAUUGACCAAAGUUGUGGCUCCACCCACGACUUUGAUCAAGAUUUCCAGAAAGUUGCCUCACCACACCCCUACCCAGGCUGAGCCCACUCCCCCUCCCCCUGCCAUCUGUUUACCUUGUCCACAUGUCAUCGAAGCAGGUCUUCCUCUGCCACUUAAUUAAUUGGCCCAUGGGCCUGUCUUUUCCACAAGACAGUGAGCCUGAGGGCAGGAUUUGGGUUCUGUAUCUCCAGUGCACUGCAGAAGGCCCAGAUCAAUAAUGGCCUCAAAAGUUACCCUCUACUGAACACUUACAGAUACCUACAGACACCUUUGGGUCUUUCCUAUAACCCAUAAAGGAGAAUUAUCCUAUUUUUAAUAGACGAGGCACCUGGGGAUACAGAGAAGUUCAUUACUGUCCCUAAGAUAUACAAGUAGAAAGUCGCAAAGCCUGGAAUGGAGUUCAGCUCUGUCCAGAACCUCUGACCUAACAUGCUUCGGUGCCUGUCAUCAGAAGUUUGGUAAAUCGAGCGUCAGUGUUAAGAGGUUGUCUCCACAUACUGUAAACCAGGUCAGCAUGCCCUCGUUCUCUGUGCCUGGUGGGACCGACCGAGGCUUCCAGAAACCACAGGAAGGGCUGGGGAAUGAGUAAGUGCGGAUACAUUCACUACUCAGGCCAUAUUGGUGAUAUAAUUCAUUCAGGAAACUGUAAACAACCUCAGAGAUGCUGCCAUGUUUAUUGGAAGGAGAAGAAACAGGCCACCUGUAGAUAUGAUUUUUGCCGUGUUGCCUGGGCAAGGGGUCAGGGGAGUAGGAAGUCUGGCUGCUUUUUUCUCCAUAACCAGCACCCUGGCCUCCAGCCCCGUUCCUUGCCUGUGUUGACAUCUGGUCUUCAACACCGGUAGUAUGCCCAUCUGGGCUCCCCAUAACUCGCCUCCUCAAUCCACCCCCUCAGGCUUCCAGACUGCUUGCCUCAUCAUGUGAUGACUACUGUUUUCCAGAAAUCCAGUCCAAACCACUUCCUCUUUCCUCACUCCUUACAGAAGAAAGGCAAGAACCUCAGGCAAGGCAGCUAAAGUUUAGCCAGCAAACGGUGGUCUCUCAAAUAAAAUUCCGAGUACAAAUUUAACCCUGCCACUUACUCCCUAUAGGACCUUGCAUAAGUUUUUGAAUGGCUCUGUGCCUCAGUUUCCUUACCUGUAAAAUGGGAAUUAUAAUUACUGCCAGAAAGACUGAUGAGCGAUUAAAUGAGACGAUGUGCGUAAAAAUGCGUGGAUACAGGUAUACACAGGUUUUCUCCCUCCUUCUUGCCACCUUCAACCUUUUCCUCGUGUGAAUACAGAGGAGGGACCUAGAGAGAAUGCACACCAUGGUGUGGGGGCAGUCAGGGUAUUCUGAGAAUUUCUGAGCCCUUCUCACCCUUCCAAGACUUGGGGUCCUAAAAACCCUCCCACUCUGAGAUUCCCAAACAGCUAUUGGAAAGAAAAGAAGUUCCCCCUCCUGUCGCCUGGGGAACACGCAGGUUGAUUAUUGCCAACAUCUCACUACACAAAGACCCUGACGGGGCGGGGCUUCUGAGUGGCUUCUGGAUGAGAAGAGAGAGGAGAUGGGGUUGGAAUUCUAGGGGCCUGGCUCCAGAGAGCCCAGGCCCACGCCUUGGGAACCCUUCCAUGGAGAAGUGGAGAGGCAGGUUUUCAUCACUAAAGACUUACGGGCAAUCACACACUUCAGGCGAGAACAUUCCAUGUGGAAAUUGGGUCCUGCCCCUGACUUCCGUCCUUGACUCCUCAGAAUAAAACCAGAAAGAAGAAGGUGAAGAUGGGAAGACUAAGGCACAGGGAGCAUAGUCCCUCAGUAAGUGGCAGAGACAGGAUGCCAACGUGAACAGCGUGGAUCUGUCACACUGGCCUCUUAACCCCUCCAUCACGCUGCUUCCAUUCCAACAUACCCAUCCUUGUACCGGAAACAAAGACAAGGGCUCACUUCUGAGGAAUCCAGAGGGCAUGGCGACAGAGCCCAUCAUUCUCUGUGGAACAACUGUAACUUGAAAGAGGAGAAAAGUAAUUGACAUCCAACACGGAAGGUUGGGAAAGCUGAGGGAGGUAGAAGGAGCCAAAAGGGGCAGAGAUUUGACUAUUUCUGGGGGCAGGGCUGGUGGGUACCGAGAGAAAGUGCCGUAGGGAUAUCAGAAAUAGAUGGGGUUCAGAUGGGAUUCGUGGAGGAGAGAUAAGGAACAGGAAUGAAAAGGAGGUAAAGAGAAAAAUCUUGGAAAGGCAUAUCUUUCAUUGCCCACCCCAGAAGGAAACCUCUCUCUCUCUCACACACACACACACGCACACACGAACACCAGCUUAUAUGCUUGUAUGGUUGUAUGGUUUGGGGAUAAGGUAGGUAGAUCAGGUCCACAAUGCCUGGUCUCCCUCUCCCCACUUCAUUCUUAUAAUUUUGUAAGAUUUUGGGGGGCACCUGGGUGGCUCAGUCGGUUGAGCAUCUGACCCUUGACUUUGGCUCAGGUCAUGAUCC
Long non-coding RNA from Felis catus (domestic cat), 2964 nucleotides. RefSeq lists it as uncharacterized. The transcript is spliced from 4 exons. Lineage: Eukaryota; Metazoa; Chordata; Mammalia; Carnivora; Felidae. The record is from RefSeq and is a predicted model, not a curated record.